Long non-coding RNA from Tachyglossus aculeatus (Australian echidna), 1708 nucleotides. RefSeq lists it as uncharacterized. NCBI's taxonomy places the organism in Eukaryota, Metazoa, Chordata, Mammalia, Monotremata, Tachyglossidae. The transcript is spliced from 4 exons. The record is from RefSeq and is a predicted model, not a curated record.
AACCAACCUGCGGGCACCCACCCUGGACCCCCCGCCCCGGGCCGCUUUCCUUCUGGGGUGGGGACCUGCGGAUCUGCUGGCAACCUUCUUUUACAAACACUUCUCUCGCUCUAUCCCCUAGAAGCCCCCGCCCCUGGGAAAUGUCGAUUCAGAAGAGGACCAGGGACGGAGCGGACCCUAAAACGUGGCAAGAGCAGAUGCCAGACCCGACUCCGGAAUCCGCCCCCCGGGCCGAAGAACGAUCAGAAGGAAUCUCUCUUUUCCUAGACCGGCUCUAUCCCUCGCAUCAUCGAUGUAUCGGAUUGUUCGAAGUAUUCGGGUGGCGGAGUUGAAACAGGAUUGGCAAGCAUAUACAUCUCGCAAACAGCUGAGCCAGAGGGUGUGCAUGGGCCUACGGUCACAGUUACGAGCCUCUGAUUACUGACAAUGACAAGUUUGCUAAGUGGCUGAGCUUCCGAAAGAUCUCGAUCCACCUGCUGGGGAAGAAAAUUCAUCAGCUGAUUAAAUCCUUAGUCUAAACCAGGCCAAGAGAGAAGGGGUUAGGCUGUGCAACUAAGUGGCUUACUUCAAAAAUACUCUCCAGACUUCAGUCAAGGCUCGGGUGGAUAAAGACGGUUCCUAUUUAAUGGACUAAUACAUUCCUGAAUCCUGCAUACAAGGGUAAUCAGGACCCGAGGAGACAGAAUAAAAUACUUUUCCUUUCUCAGGUGGUUAGGAAGAAAUUGAAUUUUCAGGGCUUAUUAAUUUUAUCUGCUUGUCGUCAAUGUUUUUGCUAGUGGGUUCAGGUGAAAAGGACUGCUUUAUGAGGCCAAGUUUUAGAGCAAACCUGGGGAGAUCACCCUUUGUAAAUGAGGGCUUUGGUGUUGUUAUAGAGAGCACACAUUCACUCAAUCGUAUUUAUUGAGCGCUUACUGUGUGCAGAGCACUGUAUUAAGAGCUUGCGAAGCACACAUCUUUUCUGUACUACAGUACAGCCAUCAGCCUGCCAUUUUUUUUUAUUAAAUGGUAUUUGUUAAGCACUUACUAUGUGUCUGGCACUGUACUAAGUGCUGGAGUAGAUACAAGUUGAUCAUAUUAACUGAUUUUACUGUACUGUUCAGUAUCACAAAAACAAAAGUCCUUGUGAUUGUGAAGGGUCAUAAAGCUAAAUAUUAGCUAUCAACAUAUUAUCUAGGCAUUAUAAUCUCAUCCUUUCUCCACCCACUGCCCCACCAUUGUCUGAUAGGCUUCUAUUUGCUUUCUUUUUUUUUUUUGCCUAAGCCUCUUCUCCCUUUUAUCUUCACAUUCACAAUUUCACAUGCUAGCUGAAAUCCCUGCAAUCAGUUUAUGACACCAUGCUACUUUUACUUGAAUAGCUUAUACUCCCUAUCUAUUAUCUUGCAAAGUCAUUGAUACUGUCAUAUCAGAAGAUGCUGCUGUUACUUUGAAAUAUCCAUUACCUCUGAUGCAAAAGCCCUGCAAGAAAGGUUGUAAAGAAGACAGAGCAUGUUUAGACAGCAAACAAAAGUGGAAAGGAGCUCAUUAUUUGAGUUUGUAGGACUUAGUUGUGAGAAAAUGGAUGCCACCUGGUAGAACUGGCAAAAAGCUUUUAAUGGAUUUUUGCCAUUGCUAACAGUAAAGUCUGAAUUGACUCACCUAUUACCAAAAGUCCAAGUUGAAAAUGAUUUAAUGUGACUUAGGUGCUCAUCUCUCCUUUCCCCACCCAGCA